UGUGGUCCGUUGCGAUGCGAAGAAACUACGUCCUAAUUUCUCUAUCAGGGGCUUGGACAAGGCUGUUUUUCUGCACAAAAGCUGACUUAGGAACGCUUUAGCUCACUAUGCAGAGGCCUGGAGAGUCCUUGAUUUUCCUGGAGCGAGCUGGCAGCUUUGACAGAGGCUGUCACGUUUUAGGAAUCUCAAUGGUCCCCCAGAAAAUAAGCCAACACUUUUGGCGGUUGGGAUUUUGCUGAAGUCAUUUCUUUGUGACACUGUGGGAGAGGAAAAUAUUUGCCAGGUCACUGGGGUCCUGACUUUAAAAUCUGCCAGUUUUUACACUAAAAUGUUUAUUCUUUUUAGAUGAUUACCCGGAGUUCCUCUGAGAAAAAUAGGAGUAGACUGCUGCAAUUACCAUGGGUUAAAAUGAAAGAUGGGAUGACCUGGCUGUACAAAGGCAUAGGGACUCAGGCAGACGAGAACUACUGCUCCUUCUCUGAAUCGGAUUUUCCUGACUGUAGAGCCCAGAUCAACCCUUCCAUUCCAUCGAUUUGGACCGCAGCUUUGAGAGUGAUGAUCUCACUGAAAGUGCAGUGGUAGACAAAGGGGGAGCAGGGUUAGGUAAUUUCACUGGGUCAUGCUCUGUCACCUAGCCUGGAGUGCAGUGGAACAUUCUCAGCUCACUGCAUCCUCAGCCUCCCAGAGGGUUCAAGCCAUCCUCCCUCCUCAGUCUCCCAAGUAGCUGAGACCACAGCUUUGUAUCCAGUGGAGGAGGCUUGGGCCCAUGCUGGUAAAAUGAGAAGUUAGGGGAGGAUGUCCUCAGAGAGCUGGAAGAUCACGGUCCUCACUGUCACAACCCAUACAGUGUUGAUAGGGAAAACAUAUGCCUUGGAAUGUUUCAAAUACUUUGCCACAGUUAAGGGACACCGAACAGCAACUCAGUUUUGGAAAACAAAGUGGAAUUUCUGGAAACUGCUAGCAUAAAAGCUUUCACAGGGUCGCACGCAGAUUAGCAUAAUUUUUAUUACAUUUUCUAUUUUAGUACUGUGAGAUACUAAUUUGGAUUUCAUUGUGCCCAUUGAGCGGCUUUUGUUCUUUGGCUGUGAGUUUAAUUAUUUAGUUAUUUAUGAGUGCAUCUGGGCAUAAGUGCCACAGUUUUAUUUCGGUGACAAAUUUAUGGUCAGUGAAUUUUAGUAAUUAAUGAAUAAAUUAUUUCUCCUCCAUAAAUGCCUCUGCAAUUUGUGAUUUUCAUAACAAUUCAUAAUACUUAAGAAAAGUUCUUUAUUAGUUGAAAAAGCCAAUGCUAAUGGAAUCAGGAAAGGGAAAUUUCAAAUUGCUUUAAUUAACUGUAUUAAUUAGUAUCCAACAUGUGUAAGAUAUUGAAUUGGCUUUAGUUGUCUCUCUUAGCAUUUAGUUGCCUAAAAUCUGUCUAAGAUAUGAAUAUACUGUGUUAAAAUAAAUUCUAAUUCUUUUGUGAAGUAAAUGGCAAGAAUAAAAGGCUCUCCUUUAUAAUCUUUAA
Long non-coding RNA from Chlorocebus sabaeus (green monkey), 1501 nucleotides. RefSeq lists it as uncharacterized. NCBI's taxonomy places the organism in Eukaryota, Metazoa, Chordata, Mammalia, Primates, Cercopithecidae. The record is from RefSeq and is a predicted model, not a curated record.